RNAcentral lists this long non-coding RNA (1232 nucleotides) under Eucalyptus grandis. Its description in RNAcentral is "long non-coding RNA (EGRA_LNC007051)". The record is from RNAcentral. Lineage: Eukaryota; Viridiplantae; Streptophyta; Magnoliopsida; Myrtales; Myrtaceae.
UUCGGGUGAACAUUAUUCAAGAUUAAACUGUAAAACUCAUAUCUUUAUAUUUUACUAUUGUCAAGAUGAGUCUACACAUGAGAAUGUCUGGAAGAUGAUUUGCAGAAUACUGGGAACUGAAGUUAUUCUACUACAACUAGAACGUACCAAGAGUAUUAUGACAUAUUACAUGUAUAUCACGAUCAUGAGAAACACGAAGUUCUUGGCUUGAUGGCAUCUGGAACACCAACAUGUUUUCUUUUCAAGGACCUGUCCGGUUGUCUGCAACCAUGUUUAAUAUAGAGGGAAAUGAAGGAAUGAGUCUCACCAGAAGAAACGAAAUUAAUUCUCGAAAAGUAGAUGAUGCGAGACUGUCCUUUUUUAACUUUUUCUUUUUCUAUUGAGAAUGCAAGACUAUCUUUUUUUUUUUUUUGAUGGCUCAUUGCCGCACCCCCUCCUCACUUUGAGACUCUGUUAGUAAUAUACUCCAGACAAAUAUUAGUCAUGGGAUGUACAUUUGUUUUUUUUUUGUUUUUUGUAAUUAAUUUAAAAAGUACAAAGAAAUUAUUGACAUGAUGAAAUUACCAUGAUCCCCCCCAACUGUAGAAAACCUUAUUGACCAAGUUGUGACCAUACUAUGCAAAUGAGUACACGAAUAGUGUCAGUACAGAGAACCGAGAUUUUGUUACUAAAUUUUGCCAUAAAUAAGAAAUUAGGCAUAUGCACAUACUAUGUUCGCAAAGAUGAAAUUUCAUGGAGUAUCAAUAAUCAUUUGACGCACAAGUGAUAUCGAACAUGUUACAUGAUUAUAUGACUAGAGAAUAUCCGAUGAAUUAAGAUUGUAGUGCUUUCGAGCGAGCGUAAUACAAUAUAUGAUGAAUGAUUCACACAUAUAUAAAUCAUUCUAGAGGCAAACAACAAUUCUAGAGGCAGACAACAUGAUAGAAAGGUUCAAGAUAUGGAGGAAAACGAAGACUCACACGGAUUAUGACCAUACGUUCCGGCAGGACGAGUAGGGCUUCCCACCACAGGGAUACCUGCAUGUGCAGGACAAUACAAUGAAAAUUGAUAUGAAAUAUCAUAUACUAUAUGAUGAAAAGGGCCAAGAUAUGGAGUAAAAGGAGUACUCACGAUCAUGGAAAAAAUUGUCAAAAAAGUUAUAAACCUAUUGAAUUAUUGCCAACUUAAUUAUAAACCUUUCAAUUUUACCAAUUAACUUCCAAACAUUUUCAUAUUCUAUCAAUUGAGUGCAU